GGUUGGAAAAUUCUGCAUCUUUUCACUACAUUCUGGUUUUGGAACUUGAAGAUCGUGAUUCAACACUCCAGUGGAGAGCUCCAAGCACAUCGAGAGCAUGGAUCCACAAGCCAUGGCGAUGAAGCGAGGAAGCGUACGAAGAACGAUGAGGAGCUAAACUCCUUGGAGGUAGGAUCUAGGAUAGUUUAGGAUGUAGUUCAACUGAAUGUAACCUGCAAUGGUGUAAGAUCAUACUCUCUUUAUAGUGUUCAUUCAAUUCAAGUCUGUUUCUAAUGCUUUAUAAUCC
RNAcentral lists this long non-coding RNA (286 nucleotides) under Trifolium pratense (red clover). Its description in RNAcentral is "long non-coding RNA (TPRA_LNC006832)". Lineage: Eukaryota; Viridiplantae; Streptophyta; Magnoliopsida; Fabales; Fabaceae. The record is from RNAcentral.